UGGGGAAUUUUGGACAAUGGGCGAAAGCCUGAUCCAGCAAUGCCGCGUGUGUGAAGAAGGCCUUCGGGUUGUAAAGCACUUUUGUCCGGAAAGAAAUCCUUGGCUCUAAUACAGUCGGGGGAUGACGGUACCGGAAGAAUAAGCACCGGCUAACUACGUGCCAGCAGCCGCGGUAAUACGUAGGGUGCAAGCGUUAAUCGGAAUUACUGGGCGUAAAGCGUGCGCAGGCGGUUUGCUAAGACCGAUGUGAAAUCCCCGGGCUCAACCUGGGAACUGCAUUGGUGACUGGCAGGCUAGAGUAUGGCAGAGGGGGGUAGAAUUCCACGUGUAGCAGUGAAAUGCGUAGAGAUGUGGAGGAAUACCGAUGGCGAAGGCAGCCCCCUGGGCCAAUACUGACGCUCAUGCACGAAAGCGUGGGGAGCAAACAGGAUUCAGAUACCCUGGUAGUCCACGCCCUAAACGAUGUCAACUAGUUGUUGGGGAUUCAUUUCCUUAGUAACGUAGCUAACGCGUGAAGUUGACCGCCUGGGGAGUACGGUCGCAAGAUUAAAACUCAAAUGAAUUGACGGGG
This 571-nucleotide ribosomal RNA is filed under the name uncultured bacterium. RNAcentral's name for it is "partial 16S ribosomal RNA". It matches the Rfam family "Bacterial small subunit ribosomal RNA", at positions 355 to 918 of the family's 1533-position model. The record is from RNAcentral.